RNAcentral lists this transfer RNA (86 nucleotides) under Candidatus Nealsoniibacteriota bacterium. RNAcentral describes it as "Candidatus Nealsonbacteria bacterium tRNA-Ser". It matches the Rfam family "tRNA". From Rfam's summary of the family: Transfer RNA (tRNA) molecules are approximately 80 nucleotides in length. Lineage: Bacteria; Candidatus Nealsoniibacteriota. The record is from RNAcentral.
GGUGGGUUGCUCCGAAUUGGUAAGGAACUGGUUUUGAAAACCAGCGCCCCGCAAGGGGCUUGCAGGUUCAAGUCCUGCACCCACCG